GCCUGGGAAGGCACUGCAGAGCCGUUCUGCUGUAGGGAGUGCUAUCCCUUUAAGCAGCAGCCGAGGCUAAGUGAGCUGCUAUGUCAUGUGUAGGUGCCGUCACCGUGGCCGUGCCUGGGAACCAGGAAGCAACUACACCAUCUAGUGUCACAACCAUUGCAAGCGGGGAAAUAAAGCGCCUAACGCGAGAGGCUGAUUCCAUUUGGAAGCAGUUUGCUGGGGUGUUGGCAGCGAAGUGUUUCAGCCCCUGUCUUCUGGGAUGGCUCUCUCCUGCUCACUGAGACUGAUACGCCUACACGCUUGCUGGCCGGUGAGUCUGAAACAGGCAUCUUUGAGCACUGCACCAGAUGAGGACUGCAGACAGGUGGCUGGGAGGAAUGAAGCAACGAGGAAAAGGUGGACGAAGGAGAAAAAGCCUAGACAGGACCGCAGCUUCCCAGGCCUGGAGUCCUCCUGGGAAGAGAGACUAACCAAUGUGGCAACUCCAUUGUGGAGAUUCCCCUAUGAAGAACAGCUGAAGGUGAAGUCUGAGAGUCAAAAGAAGGUGUUGCAGACACUGGCUUCUCAUCUGUGGGAGCUUGGUACAGACAAACUGGAAAUCACACAAAGGCCAGAUGGACUUUGCUGUCCCCUCCGUUCUAUUGUCCCCUCUCCCGUCGUUAAUGGCUACCGAAACAAAUCCACAUUUUCUGUGAACCGAGGACCUGAUGGGAACCCCAAAACUGUGGGACUCUAUGUGGGAACUGGCAGAGCAAGGAAUAUUGUCUGUGUGCGAGCCAACCACCUGGAAAACAUGCCCGAAAAACACAAACAAGUGGCCCAGUGCUAUGAGGAAUUUCUUCAGCAGUCCCCACUGGAUCCCUGCCUCCUGUUUCACCAGGGUGGCCACUGGCGCGAGCUCACAGUACGCACCAAUAGCACUGGAGACAUCAUGGCCAUCAUCACCUUCCACCCCCAGGAUCUCAGUCAGGAGGAACUGUGUACUCAGAAAGCAUUGCUUAAGGAGUUUUUCACUUGUGGGCCUGGAGCAGUCUGCAACCUGACAUCAUUAUAUUUCCAAGAGAGCAUCAUGACUCGAAGUUCCCACCAGCAAUCCCCCUAUCAGCUUCUUUGUGGAGAACCAUACAUCUUUGAGGAGGUCCUGGGCUUGAAGUUCCGCAUCUCUCCAGAUGCCUUUUUCCAAAUCAACACAGCUGGGGCAGAAGUUCUGUACCAGACAGUGAGGAAGUUAAGCCGGGUUGAUAAGAACACUGUCCUUCUUGACAUCUGCUGUGGAACUGGUGCCAUUGGUCUCUCUCUGGCUCACCAAGCAUCUAAGGUUGUUGGUGUCGAGGUAGUGGAGCAGGCUGUAGAGGAUGCCAGAUGGAAUGCAGCAUUCAAUGGGAUCUCAAACUGUGAAUUUCACAGUGGAAAGGCAGAGACGGUGUUGCCGCAGUUCCUGAUGUCGCGAGAGGAUGACUGGCUCUUUGUUGCAGUGGUAAACCCAUCCCGGGCUGGACUCCAUUAUCAUGUGGUGCGGGCCAUUCGAAACUGCGAGGCCAUCCGUACGUUGAUCUAUGUUUCCUGCAAGCCUGAAGGAGAAGCCAUGAGGAACUUCCUUGAGUUUUGCUGCCCACCAGACUCUGGGAAGAAACUUGUAGGAGAGCCAUUUGCCCCUCUAUUGGCUGUCCCAGUUGACAUGUUUCCCCACACCAUGCACUGUGAGCUGGUGAUGCUCUUCACCCGCUGAGGGGCCAUCCUGGUUUAUGUGUUUUCCUACAAAACAGGACUUCAUACCUUUCAAAGUUGAGGAAACGAGCCUACAAAAGUUACGUCCGGGCCCUUCCCAUAUUGAAGAAGAUGGGAGUCAGCUCAAUCCUUCUCCGCAAGAGCAUUGGUGCCCUGGAG
RNA transcript from Gopherus flavomarginatus (Mexican gopher tortoise), 1887 nucleotides. It is a transcript of the gene named tRNA methyltransferase 2 homolog B, with no coding region annotated. The record is from RefSeq and is a predicted model, not a curated record. NCBI's taxonomy places the organism in Eukaryota, Metazoa, Chordata, Testudines, Testudinidae. The transcript is spliced from 14 exons.